This 3223-nucleotide long non-coding RNA is filed under the name Solanum tuberosum (potato). Its description in RNAcentral is "long non-coding RNA (STUB_LNC010557)". The record is from RNAcentral. Lineage: Eukaryota; Viridiplantae; Streptophyta; Magnoliopsida; Solanales; Solanaceae.
UCAGUAAUAGAAAUCGCAUCCAAGCUGUAUUGGUUGAUUAUGAUGCCUGCUGGAGAUGUUGAACGUGAUAGUUUUAAAAAUUCGGAAUCUAAGGUUAGGUUUAGAAAAGAUUUGGAGACGCUUUUGACGUAUAAGAGUGUGGUGGGAGGUAAUCUAGAGAGAAUUUCUAACAAGAUUGGAGAUGGAAGAUCCACCAGUGAUGUUGCUUCAUCAAUACUCAUUUCUUACAACUCUUUGGAUAAUGAAACAUGUACCAGAAAUGUUGUGUCCAAAAUGUUUUUAACAAGUUAGCUAGCUGAAUUGUUCAACACUUUGGAAGAAUAUUCAACAUUACGUAUGCCAUAUUCAUUGAAAAUCAAAAGUCCAAGAAACCUUUCAUUUUCAAGAUCAAAUGUCAAAAGUCUAAAAUUUGAGUUAUUAGCUAUGCUUGCAAACAUGACAACUAGAGUAAGGUGCAACAAUAUUAGAGAUUUUGGGUUCUAAUUUCUAGUAUUUCCAAAAAGAUUUACUUUUAAAAAUAUUUGUUCGUGAAAGUUUGUAUAUACAUUUUUUAGAUCUGGAUUUACUCGACUAUACUUGGUCUAGCAGGCUGUACUAAUUUAUUUUCAUUAAGAUUAAGAUGUUUGAAUGUGAAUGCAGAUGUUAUGAUAUGAGAAGUCCAAUAUAGAAGAAUAAAUAAACGUAGUUGUAGAGGGUCGAAAUUGAGUAAAGGAAGGGAGGCUAAUUUCGUUUCUUUUAAAUUGAGCAGUCGAGAUUGAAAUCAGUUUAAUGAAUAGCAAGGGCGAGGAUUCAACCACGACAUCAGGUCAGUUAUCACUGUUAUAACCACCCUGGGAGUGUGGGCGUAAAUGAAGAAGUAGUAUUUUGACAUGCUCCUUGUAAGGGAAACAUUUGGAUGGAAGGAUGGAUGUCGUUAAAUCAUCCACGCUGACAUGCUCCUUGUAAGGCGAGCACAACCCUGUUACACUGGAGGCCAGUACAAAAAUAAGUGAAUUUCCACCAGAUGUGGUAAUUGAAGUGAUAUGGAACAAACAAUAGUGGAAGUUGUGUGCUUAUGUGCUUUGUCUGGACACAAUAGAGGGGUCAAUUCAAUAUUGGUGAAGGGUACCAUAAAGAAUAGGAACCUUACUGUGCUUAUUGACUUUGGGAGCAACCAUAGUUUCAUGGAUGCUCAUACUGUCAAAGGGACUGGUUACCAAGUUAGUUACUGCCCAUUGUGAGAGUAACAAUAGCAGAUGGCAACUAUGUGAUGUGCAACUCUUCUUGUUUCAGAUUCCAAUGGAAAAUGCAGGCUAGGACAUUUCAAGAAGAUCUAUUUGUAAUUCCACUAGGUGGCUAUGAUCUCGUUUGGAUGAAAAAGCACAACCCUACUAAGUUUGACCAUGAGAUAAAUUGUGUAACUGGUGUUGAAGGGCAUUUCUGAAGAGGGCAAGCUCAGCAUGAUCCAUGAUCAAUAGUGGUGCUAUGCAUAAGUUUCUUAAGAAGGGGAAUGCUCUAUUUGCCCAUCUAUUCAUGAUGAACAGUGCAGCAGAUCAGGAUCAAGAGUCGGAGGUUAUAGUACUACAUGUAUUAGAAUAAUUUAUUGAUGUGUUCUCUGAGCCUAAGUCCUUGCUUCCUAUCAGAUCUUUAGAUCCAGUCCAUGAGCUUUCAAGAUCAAUUGUCAAAAGUCUAGAAUUUGACUUAUCAGCUAUGCUUGCCAACAUGACAACUAGAAUAUGGCAAGGCCCGCGAGGGGCUGGGGUGGCCCGGGUCAGAGCAUAAUCGAACAUGACGCUUGCACGUAGGAUGCCGUGUAGAAGACAAAUUGUCAUGUAGGACGACUGUGUCUAUUUGUUCAACUCUAUACAAGUUUAAGUGCCUACUUGUGUAUACCCAAAGUUAAAGAGCACAAAUUCCAGAUAAAGCCAAGUUAAAUGACACGUUUGUGUAUUAUACCUUUUUUAUUUCAUGUAAGUAAUUCGAAUACAGAGUCUUUAAUCCAAAGCAGGCACUCGAGUCACCAAAAUGAAGAAAUAACAAAACAGUAUACUCUAGCACAAUACAUGCAUUUUGACAAUCUAAAAGACAUUCACAACCUCUCCUUCAAAAUUCUUGAGAGAAAAGGAGCUUGAUACAUGGCUAGAAGCUAAGAUAUUCCCUGCACAGACAUCAAGCUUUUUCAAAGUUUUCUUCACAGGAUGGUGCAAGAACAAGAAGUCGUCACGCCACAAGAACAACACCUCUCCAUCAUCCAAAACUUUCAACAUAUAAAUCAUUUCAUUGCCCAACCAAUCGUUGCAUUCAGGAGAAAUGUUUAUGACAAUCUCUUUAACCCAUGAGCUUGUAAUUCCAUAUUCUUUCAUCACCCAUACCUCAAAAUGAGUAUCUACAUAAUUGUCACACACACAUAGACAAUGUCCAAAGACUCCCAAACUUCGCGAAUACCAAUACCUUUUCUUAUUGCGCCCUGGAGCCGUGGGGAAUGAUUCAAACAACUCAUUCUCCAAAUCAAACGAACAUAUUGACUCAUUUCCUUUAGCAUCAUAAACCAACCAAUGAAUCUUCGCGUAGAGGUUCACCCCAUAUGGCAUGAAAGAAAACAUAACAUGUCCUGCAUUUCUCCAAUACCCUCUGCCAAUUGUGUAAACUUGACAUUUAGACUUGUAAUAACUAGUAUUAUCAUCAUAAAUUUCUUCUUGGUAAAUUCUAACCACUUUGUACUCGAACCUAACAGGAUCGAAACCAAAGCUAUGCAUGACAUCAUUGGGCCACUCUCUUAUCCCUCCAGCCUCUGGAAGGAUGAUAUACUCCCUGGUUCUUGGGUUGAGGAUGUAAAUAGUUUCAACAUAAUCAGGGAAGUAAUUAAAACAAACGAAACCAUGAACCGAUCCAACCAUCCAAAAUGGAUCAAUAGGAAAGUAAUGUUGUAGAUCAAGGUCAAGUUUUGGAUCAUGACAAUAUGAAUGAGUAUCCUCAUCUUCAAAUUUCAAGAACUUAAUGGUGUCGGUACUAGAAGGCUCAUCAGAGCUGAAUUGGUUGAUGAUGAUGCUGGCUGGAGAUGUUAAACAUGAUAGUUUUAAAAAUUCGGAAUCUAAGGUUAGGUUUAGAAAAGAUUUGGAGACGCUUUUGAAGUAUAAGAGUGUGGUGGGAGGUAAUCUAGAGAUAAUUUCAAACAAGAUUGGAGAUGGAAGAUCCACCAGUGAUGUUGCUUCAUCAAUACUCAUUUCUUACAACUCUUUGGAUA